Long non-coding RNA from Saccostrea cuccullata (small rock oyster), 137 nucleotides. RefSeq lists it as uncharacterized. The transcript is spliced from 3 exons. Lineage: Eukaryota; Metazoa; Mollusca; Bivalvia; Ostreida; Ostreidae. The record is from RefSeq and is a predicted model, not a curated record.
GUACAGGAAAGGGAUCUGGCAAACGGUCUCAAAGAAGAACAUAAAAGAAUGGAAACUAGAGAUGAAACAUCAAAUGAUAGGUGGCUUCCCCAACACUACUGAUGAACAGUGGACUAACAUAAUUUCAUGUACACGUA